GUUUUUGCUUUGGUGGUACCUAUUUUAAAAUUGAAAUAAUGGAGAGAAGAUUAGCAUGGCUUCUAAGUAAGGAUGUCACAAGUUUUUGGAGCAUUUCACAUUUUU
This is a small nuclear RNA of Vombatus ursinus (common wombat), 105 nucleotides long. NCBI's taxonomy places the organism in Eukaryota, Metazoa, Chordata, Mammalia, Diprotodontia, Vombatidae. The record is from Ensembl.